GCCCGGCGAGCCCGGCGUGCCGGGAUGACGGAGGCGGAAGCGGCUCGGGGAGGAUGUAGCGGCGCUGGCAGCGGCUGUGGCGCCGCGAUCUCCCCGCCCCUGCAGCCGGCCGGCCCCGCCAUGGAGGUUCAAGAUGCUGGGCAGGAGAUGGUGGCAUCUUCUGGGACACCAGGAUCAGGCAAAUCAAAGCUGGACACAUUGCCCAAAGAAGACCUCAUCAAGUUUGCAAAAAAGCAAAUGAUGCUUAUACAGAAAGUGAAGUCAAGAUGUGCAGAACUGGAGAAAGAAAUUGAAGAACUCAGAUCUAAAGCAGCUACUGCAGGAGCUGAUGAUAUUAUUCAGGCUCUCACAGAAAGGCUGGAUGUGGUGCUUCUGGAAAAAGCUGAAAGUCAGCAGCAGUGCAUAGCUCUGAAAAAAGAAAAUGUUCAAAUAAAGCAAGAAGCAGAGGCUGCAGUGGCUAAAACAGAAGAAUUACAGAAGCAACUGGAACAAUCAAGAAUUGACUCUCUGGAAGAAAUAAAAGCUCUGAAGAGUGAAUUAGCAAAUGCACAAUGCAAGCACAAUGAGGAUUUAAAAAAGCUAAAGAUGGAAUUAGAUGAACAAGUGAAGAAACAAAUGGAGCUGGUGCAACAGGUUGAAUGUUACAAUGAUAGUCAAAAAGAAGUUAAAAGAUUACAAGAUGAUGUCCAAAGAAUUAAAUCUACUUAUGAAGAGCAAAUUUUGUGUCUGAACAAGCAGUUGGAAGCUGUGAAUGAAGACAAAAACAAAGAAGUGACAAAUCUGCAAGAAACUAUUAAAAGCACCUCUCAGUGUUACCAUAAUGAAAUAAAAAAUCUGAAUGAAGAGCUUAAAAAAUUAAAAACUGCUCAUCAGGAAGAGGUGUCAGAACUAAUGCAUCGGAUUGAAAUAUCAUCUAAAGAAAAUGAAGAAAAGCAAAAUCAAAUAAAUCAGUUGCAGCAUAAUUUGGCAGAGAAAAAUGCCAAGGAUGAAAUACAUGCUCAGACUGACCAGUGUGAAUAUGACUUGGAGCAGCUGAGAGAAGUGCUACAUAAAAAUUUAGAAAACAAGAUAGAUGUUGCAGAUACACAAGAAGAACCUUGUGUAAAAGCAAAAAUGGAGGAAAAAGUUAGGUACCUGGAGCAUAGUUUAGAAGAACUCCAGUCCCAACAUAGUAUAUUAAAAGAUGAGUUAACUUAUAUGAGCAAUGUCAAGAUGAAACUGGAAGAGGAAAUCCAUCGUAUGAAGGAUGAGUUCUUUCAUGAGCGGGAAGACUUGGAUUUUAAGAUAAAUGAAUUGCAGCUUACUAAAGAAGAUUACUGCUGUGUAAUUGAAAAACUAAAAUUGGAGCUUCAAGCAGCAGGACAGCACUAUGAAACUGCUGCAAAAGAGCACAAAUUAGAGAUACAGAAUCUGAAAGAUCAGCACCAGAGAGAAAUUUCUGAACUAAAUGAAACUUUAUUAUCUGGUUCUGAAAAAGAACAGAUGGCAUUAGUUUUUGAAAUGCAGGAACUUAGAGAACAACUUGAAAAGGUAACUCAGGAGAAAGAAGAAGCAGUGUCCAAUUACAACAGCCUGAGAGAAACAAUGGAAACUCUACAGGCUGAGCUAGGUGAAUCUGCUGGAAAGAUCAGCCAGGAGUUGGAAUCAAUGAAACAACAGCAAGCUUCUGAUGUCAGUCAACUGCAACAGAAACUCCGGGCUGCUUUCAAUGAAAGGGAUCUUCUUCUUGAAAAUGUAAAUCACCUCCAGGAAAAAGUAAAAAAAUUUUCAGAAGAGACAGGAGAACUUAAAUGUAAAAUUGUUAGUCUUCAGGAGGACAAUAGUGCAAUGGCAAGCUCCAUUGACCAAAAAGAGAUUACUGUAAGAAAACUGGAAGAGAAGAUCACUGCUCUUACUGAUCAAAACAGGGAUAUUUUAAAUGACGUAAAAUGCUUGAGUGAAGAUAGAGAAACCCUUCAGGAAACAUGCAAGCAAAAACAAGUUAGAAUUCAGGAACUUCAGCAAGAAGUAGAUUGUGCUAACCAGGACAAUAAUGACCUGAAGCAAAAGGUAGAGGAAUUAACAGAGAGACUGAAUGAAGCUUUAAUUUCUAAGGGUGAAAAUGCUCAAAUGCUAGAACAAUUAGAAAAACAGAUUGAAUCUCUGGUGCGUGAUAAAGAGCAGCUUUCAUCUGAAGUGCACACUCUCCGUGAGGAAAAUAAGAAACUCAUUCAGGAAAAAGGUGAAUUAAGUGAAGAGCUGGGAAAGACUACAUCUGAAAAAGAUAGUUGUUCAGUAUUGAAAGAGCAGUCUGAAAACUUAGAAAAGAAACUACAAAUAAUGGCUGCAGAAAAAGACCAUAUAUCAACAUUACUUGAAAAUGAACAAGUGCACACAUCCCUUGUAAGAACUCAGCUGUACCACUUACUUGAGCAAGUGGGGUUCAGCAUUUCAGAUUCUAAUGAAGAAUAUGAUUCUCUUAACUUGUUAAAAAUUGCAAGUGAAUGCUUGUCAAAAAUUAAAGAAGAGCAGUGCCUUGCUCUUCAAAAGGAGGAGGAAGUAAUUAGUUUGCAGCGAGAAGUUGAGAGAUUAGAGGAAGAAAAUGCAGCUCAACAUAGAGAACAUAGAUCCCUGAUUCAGGAUUUUGAAAAAGAGAAGAAUCUUUUGAGAGAAGAACUGGAAGGACUGUUGUCUGAAAAAGAAGCGCUUCAACGUGAUAUCCAGGAGUUGAGAAAUGCCAGUGAAAAAACAAGGAUUGAAAAUCAAGAUCUUUUAGCUAAUACUGAAGAGAUGAGUCAAAAACUUGCUCUUUAUGAAAAUCAAAUACAAGAACAGCAAAAAGGAUCUGAAAAACAAGACGACUUAAAUUUCAUUCUGGAACAAAAGGAAACUGAGCUUAGAAAUGUGAAAGACGAACUGAGUUCUCUAAAGAAUUUAAUGGAAACAAUGACUGAGAAAACUGAUGAACAGUCUUCAGUAGCAGAGCUUCAAGAAAAAAUUGGGAUGCUCGAAAAAGAAUCUGCCGAAAAAGGAGAGAAGCUAAAUAAAAUCAAAGUGGUUGCUGUGAAAGCCAAGAAAGAAUUAGAUGCCAGCCGAAAAGAGGUGCAGACUCUGAAGGAAGAGUUGGAGUUGGUUCGAUCAGAAAAAGAUCAAUUGUCUGCUUCAAUGAAAGAUGUAAUUCAAGGAGCUGAAAGCUAUAAGAAUCUUUUGAUGGAAUAUGACAAACAAGGAGAACAGCUGGAUUCUGAAAAAGGCAGAGCAAAUAAUCUUGAACGUCAGAUAGAGGACCUCACAAGACAGCUACAGGUGUCGUCUGAGCAGCAUGAUCAGUUACGCUCUGCUAAUGAAGACCUCCUAACUCGUGUUGAAACAGUGCAAAAUAAUGCUAAGCUGCUGGAAACUCAGAUACUGGAGAUACAAAGAGCCAAAGCAAAGGCUGACAAAGAACUAGAGGCUGAAAAACUUCUAAGAGAGCAGAAAACAAAGGAACAUAGUGGUGCUCUCCGAGAAAUGGAGGAGCUUCAGAUGCAGCUUCAGAAGGAAAAGAAACAUCUGCAGAAAACUAUGCAAGAACUAGAGCUGGCCAGAAAGGAUGCUCAAAAGAGUACGCUGAUGGAUAUGGAAAUAGCUGAUUAUGAAAGGCUAGUAAAAGAACUUAAUCAGAAGAUUACUGAUAAAGACAGCAGAAUAGAAGAUCUUGAGCAAGAAACAGGGAUUCAGAAACAGAAACAAGAGACCCUACAGGAAGAAAUAAAGUCACUUCAGUCAACUGUGCAACAGGAUGAGGAAAGAAAUGCCAAGAUAAAACAGCUCCUGGUGAAAACCAAAAAAGAACUGGCUGAUUCAAAACAAGCUGAAAAUGACCAUCUAAUGUUGCAGGCAUCACUGAAAGGGGAGCUGGAAGCCAGUCAACAGCAAGUGGAAGCCUAUAAGAUUCAAGUGGCUGUGCUGACAUCAGAAAAGCAUAAAGUUCAGGAGCAGCUGCGAACGUCUUCGGAGCAGCACCAGCGUACGAUGAGUGCUUGCCAGCAAAAAAUUGCAACCCUGCAAGAAGAAUGCAGAGCAGCCCAGGCUGAACAAGCAUCUGUUACAUCUGAAUUUGAGAGCUACAAAGUCCGUGUUCAUAAUGUUCUAAAACAGCAAAAGAAUAAAUCUACUGCUCGGACAGAAUCUGAAGGAGCCAAACAAGAAAGAGAACAGUUGGAAAUGGUGAUAGAGCAACUUAAAGUUAAGCUGCAAGAUGCUCAGCAUAAUUCACAGAUGAAUGCAUCUGAACUCCAGGCACUGCAGUCUGAACAUGACACCCUGCUGGAAAGACACAAUAAGAUGCUGCAAGAGACUGUUGCAAAAGAAGCAGAACUUCGUGAAAAGCUCUGCACAAUACAGUCUGAGAACAUGGUCAUCAAAACAGAGCACGCCCAGGCGUUGAGUCAGCUGACAGCGCAGAAUGAAGCUCUCCGGAACAACUUCAGAGAUCAGGUCAGGAACCUGCAAGAAGAGCACAGGAAGACAGUAGAGACACUUCAGCAGCAACUCUCCAGAGUAGAAGCUCAGCUCUUCCAACUCAAGAGUGAGCCAAGCGCUAGAGGUCCAGCUGUUUCAAAUCCGGCAACGAAGACCUUGAGAGAGCGGCGGAACACUGACCUUCCUGUGCUCGAUGUGCACACUGUGGCUAGGGAAGAGGGAGAAGGUAUGGAAACAACAGACACAGAGUCUGUGUCCUCAGCCAGCACCUAUGUUCAGUCCUUGGAGCAACUGCUGAACUCACCAGAAGCAAAGCCUGAACCAUCUCAGUGGCAAGCAGAUCUCAGCAAGGAUGAACUGAUUCAGAAACUAAACACAACAGCUAAGAGUGCUGAUCACUUGAAUGAAUUACUUCGUGAAUCAGAAGCAACCAAUGCAAUCCUAAUGGAACAAAUAAAGCUUCUUAAGAAUGAAAUAAGAAGAUUGGAAAGAAAUCAAGAGAGAGAAAAGUCUGUGGCUAAUCUAGAAUACUUGAAGAAUGUUCUAUUGCAGUUCAUAUUUCUGAAAUCAGGAAGUGAGAAGGAACGGCUGCUCCCAGUUAUAGACACCAUGUUGCAACUCAGCCCUGAAGAGAAGGGGAAGUUGUUUGCAAUUGCCCAAGGUGAAGAAGAGAGUACCUCACGGCCUUCUGGGUGGGCUUCGUACCUCCACAGCUGGUCAGGACUUCGAUAAAACAGUGGAAACACUGAAUCUUUAAAAACAUUCCACAACUGCAAAACUGAGAAAUCUUACUGUAGAUCUGUUGGUAUUGUAUCAUUGAACUACAGGGUUUUAUUUUUGUGUGGUUUUUUUCAGCUUUUUAGGCUCCACUAAGAAAGAAGCCUACAGUAGCUCUGAAAGAUGGUCCUGUGUUAUGCUCUGGCAGCAGUGAACUAUUUUUCUUGUAAAUGUUAAAGCAAAUAAUAAGAACUAUGAGAAGUGACAAAUUCAUUGCAAAUAGUUUGGAAACAGAAUUUGUCAACCUGUGAUAGUUCUUUUGAUAUCAGUUUAAAAGUUUGACCUUAUAUUAACUGGAAUAACUAGAGUUUAGAUUUUAAGCAUUUAAAAGUGUUUACAGUUGCUUUCACAUAUCACUGUCAGCUAGCUAAUCUAUAUGGUUAGUGUUGCUCUCUGCACAUUUAAGAAAUUUAAAAUUAUUUCCUCUCUUGUGAAGGCUACAAAAUAUAAGAUAAUUAAGAAACAGGGCAUUUUCUGCUUUAAAGUUGUUGUCUUUCUUAAAUUAUUUUGUUUUGCUGAACAUGAAGGCAACAGUUCAUAAAAUGUAGAGGGUGCAAAAAUCUGUAUGAAAUACAGUGCUUGUCACACCUGGGCAUGGUACUAUAGUAGAGAUUAAUGGCAUCUAUGGAAGCCUUAGGAUAGUGCUCCAAGUCUCAGAGCUCCUAAGUGAGCUGAAGCUUUGUGAGAAAGGGCUUAAGCUAGGGCUUUUUAAUCUGAGGUUGGAAGUUUGUGGAAAAGACCAGGAAGAAACGUUCCAUUACUGUCACAAUGUCUCUAAUUGGAUGACAAGACUACUCAUACUGACUUAGUAAUAGUGAAGACACUAAAGAAUGAAUCUGAGCCCACAGGUCAGACUCCUAACGUUAACUUCUGAGAGAAAAGAAUGAAGCUUUUGUCAAUAGAUGCAUUCUUAAAUGUUCUAAUGAUUGAAGAUCUUAUUCUCUCCAUUACCUCUGUGUGUGUACAUUGUUUGCGCAGAUAUUUGCACAGAUGAGAUGGUCUCUGUUCCAGAUUACUCAACAGAAUGUUAUAGGUUUUUCCCAAGAAAAAUAAAUUUCUACCAUCUCUUCUUCUAUUGUCAACACAGCACCUCUUUUUACCUUCAGCUAUCUGCUCCUUUAUACAGUCCAUAAUGCCUUUCCACCAUCUUAAUUUAUUUGUAAGGUUUUGAAAAGCAUACACGAUUGAAUCCUGCUUAUGUUUAAACCAGAGUCUUCAUGUCUUUUUCACUCAUAUUAUCAUAUUCUCUGUGUUGUUUUACAGAGAGUCUUUCUCUGGUACCCAUACAAAUACUAAAUAGGGCUCUUCCUUUCCUAUCUACCUUAGAUCUGAGGAAAUGAUGCUUGUUCCUUUAAUAUUGCCUUAUUUCAGACUGGGAUUAAUCUGAACAUCUGAACAGCAGAACGGCAACAUGUUGAGAAUAAACCAUUCAUGCCACAUUUAUUAGAAUGUUUCUCAGAAAAUAUCACCCUUGCCCAAAAUGUUUAUAAGCUUAAGACCGAUUUUUAUCUUUUAACAGCCUGCCUUCAGCCCAAGCAUUAGGAGAGCAUAAUAAUAAAAAUAAUAAUAAUAAUAGUAAUUCUGCUGUCACUAUACAUAUUAUAUAUUAAGUAAAAACCAAAAAUGGGAGUGAUUUAGCAUUCCCAAACCUGCACUUGUGGCUGAAUUUUCAGCUAUCUAAUGCUGACUCAGAAAUGGGUUAUAUGUCUUUCAUUUUCCCUUUAUCCAGAAGGGAGAGUCAUCUGUGCAAGCAAAAAGUGCUCCAGCUGAAAGACAGGAAGAUCAGAACUUGUCAGGCUGUUGUGUAGAUGUGGCCAGUUGAAUCUAGGGUUCAGGCUGGCCAAAGGGAACCAUAUUAGAAAUUAUACACAGGAGAGCAAGGUUGCUUUUUUUCUUUCAUGACUCUCCUUCCCUGAAGUAUAACUGUGAGAAUACAGGGUUCUAUUAUUUUCUAGAUUUAAAUCCUCCUUCGUCUAUCUCCCUCCAUCUAUUUGCUGUGAUAAGAGAUUAUAUAUUAUGAAAUUGUGGAGGAAUGCCUAAAAAUUCUCCUUACUUUGUACUAAGUGACUUUGAAGCCAGCUUAAACAUACAUGCUUAAUUUGGCUUAUGCCUUAGCUUCACCCAGUGCACCAAUACUUCCUAAACUACCUGCUAGUUCUAAUAUUGUUGGUACUGUGAAAAUAUCUCACUUAGAAGUCUUGCAAAUAGCAGUCACCACUCACACGCUGAGAAACCAAAUGUAUGAAGAGAUAAAAAUAUUUGAUGUAGUAAUUUCAGACUUACUAGUCUGGGUAGAUAAGUAUUUUGUUUGGAAAUAUGUUUUUGGUGGCCUUUUCAUGUGGUCACACUUCAAUAAAAUUCACCUUUACUCAAGAGAGUGACUUUUUUUUUCCAUUAAUGCCUGUUCUUACCUGAGAAAAUGCUACUCAGGUGCAAGGUAGAAAACAAGGACUGUCUACCAUUGUAUUGAAGAGAUUUUAUGGAUCUGGUAUAGUAUCCGCAGCCUGU
Molecule: RNA transcript, 7728 nt
Organism: Camarhynchus parvulus
Lineage: Eukaryota; Metazoa; Chordata; Aves; Passeriformes; Thraupidae
Gene: GCC2
Gene name: GRIP and coiled-coil domain containing 2
Exons: 24
Source: RefSeq, a predicted model, not a curated record